CCUACGGGAGGCAGCAGUGAGGAAUAUUGGUCAAUGGGCGGAAGCCUGAACCAGCCAAGUAGCGUGCAGGAUGACGGCCCUACGGGUUGUAAACUGCUUUUAUACGGGAAUAACGCGCCUUACGUGUAGGGCUUUGCAUGUACCGUAUGAAUAAGGACCGGCUAAUUCCGUGCCAGCAGCCGCGGUAAUACGGAAGGGGCGGGCGUUAUCCGGAUUUAUUGGGUUUAAAGGGGGCGUAGGCCGGUGGUCAAGCGUGCUGUGGAAUGUCCGGGCUCAACCCGGGGCUUGCAGCAAGAAAUGGCGUGCUUAGAGCGGAGGAGAGGAAGGCGGAAUGG
This 335-nucleotide ribosomal RNA is filed under the name uncultured bacterium. RNAcentral's name for it is "partial 16S ribosomal RNA". It matches the Rfam family "Bacterial small subunit ribosomal RNA", at positions 338 to 669 of the family's 1533-position model. The record is from RNAcentral.